Molecule: ribosomal RNA, 551 nt
Filed under: uncultured bacterium
Lineage: Bacteria
Description: bacterial SSU rRNA
Rfam family: Bacterial small subunit ribosomal RNA
Source: RNAcentral
CAGUGGGGAAUUUUGGACAAUGGGCGCAAGCCUGAUCCAGCAAUGCCGCGUGCAGGAAGAAGGCCUUCGGGUUGUAAACUGCUUUUGUCAGGGAAGAAAUCUUCUGGGCUAAUACCCCGGGAGGAUGACGGUACCUGAAGAAUAAGCACCGGCUAACUACGUGCCAGCAGCCGCGGUAAUACGUAGGGUGCGAGCGUUAAUCGGAAUUACUGGGCGUAAAGCGUGCGCAGGCGGCUUUGCAAGACAGAUGUGAAAUCCCCGGGCUCAACCUGGGAACUGCAUUUGUGACUGCAAGGCUAGAGUACGGCAGAGGGGGAUGGAAUUCCGCGUGUAGCAGUGAAAUGCGUAGAUAUGCGGAGGAACACCAAUGGCGAAGGCAAUCCCCUGGGCCUGUACUGACGCUCAUGCACGAAAGCGUGGGGAGCAAACAGGAUUAGAUACCCUGGUAGUCCACGCCCUAAACGAUGUCAACUGGUUGUUGGACGGCUUGCUGUUCAGUAACGAAGCUAACGCGUGAAGUUGACCGCCUGGGGAGUACGGCCGCAAGGUUG